RNAcentral lists this ribosomal RNA (175 nucleotides) under Pseudomerulius sp. RNAcentral's name for it is "partial small subunit ribosomal RNA". It matches the Rfam family "Eukaryotic small subunit ribosomal RNA", at positions 1348 to 1544 of the family's 1831-position model. Lineage: Eukaryota; Fungi; Basidiomycota; Agaricomycetes; Boletales; Tapinellaceae. The record is from RNAcentral.
CUGCUAAAUAGCCAGGCCGGCUUUCACUGGUCUCUGGCUUCUUAGAGGGACUAUCGGCAUCUAGCCGAUGGAAGUUUGAGGCAAUAACAGGUCUGUGAUGCCCUUAGAUGUUCUGGGCCGCAUGUGCACUACACUGACAGAGCCAGCGAGUUUUUUUCCUUGGCUGGAAGGUCUG